GGCGGGCUUACCAUGCAGUCGAGCGGUAGCACAGAGGGAGCUUGCUCCCUGGGUGACGAGCGGCGGACGGGUGAGUAAUGUCUGGGAAACUGCCUGAUGGAGGGGGAUAACUACUGGAAACGGUAGCUAAUACCGCAUAACGUCGCAAGACCAAAGAGGGGGACCUUCGGGCCUCUUGCCAUCAGAUGUGCCCAGAUGGGAUUAGCUAGUAGGUGGGGUAAUGGCUCACCUAGGCGACGAUCCCUAGCUGGUCUGAGAGGAUGACCAGCCACACUGGAACUGAGACACGGUCCAGACUCCUACGGGAGGCAGCAGUGGGGAAUAUUGCACAAUGGGCGCAAGCCUGAUGCAGCCAUGCCGCGUGUGUGAAGAAGGCCUUCGGGUUGUAAAGCACUUUCAGCGAGGAGGAAGGUGGUGAAUUUAAUACGUUCAUCAAUUGACGUUACUCGCAGAAAAAGCACCGGCUAACUCCGUGCCAGCAACCGCGAUAAUACAGAGGGUGCAAGCGUUAAUCGGAAUUACUGGGCGUAAAGCGCACGCAGGCGGUUUGUUAAGUCAGAUGUGAAAUCCCCGGGCUCAACCUGGGAACUGCAUUUGAAACUGGCAAGCUAGAGUCUCGUAGAGGGGGGUAGAAUUCCAGGUGUAACGGUGAAAUGCGUAAAGAUCUGGAGGAAUACCGGUGGCGAAGGCGGCCCCCUGGACGAAAACU
RNAcentral lists this ribosomal RNA (709 nucleotides) under Serratia sp. ME1. RNAcentral describes it as "bacterial SSU rRNA". It matches the Rfam family "Bacterial small subunit ribosomal RNA", at positions 41 to 741 of the family's 1533-position model. The record is from RNAcentral. Lineage: Bacteria; Pseudomonadati; Pseudomonadota; Gammaproteobacteria; Enterobacterales; Yersiniaceae.